This 450-nucleotide ribosomal RNA is filed under the name Escherichia coli. Its description in RNAcentral is "bacterial LSU rRNA". It matches the Rfam family "Bacterial large subunit ribosomal RNA", at positions 2399 to 2843 of the family's 2925-position model. Lineage: Bacteria; Pseudomonadati; Pseudomonadota; Gammaproteobacteria; Enterobacterales; Enterobacteriaceae. The record is from RNAcentral.
GCGAAAGCAGGUCAUAGUGAUCCGGUGGUUCUGAAUGGAAGGGCCAUCGCUCAACGGAUAAAAGGUACUCCGGGGAUAACAGGCUGAUACCGCCCAAGAGUUCAUAUCGACGGCGGUGUUUGGCACCUCGAUGUCGGCUCAUCACAUCCUGGGGCUGAAGUAGGUCCCAAGGGUAUGGCUGUUCGCCAUUUAAAGUGGUACGCGAGCUGGGUUUAGAACGUCGUGAGACAGUUCGGUCCCUAUCUGCCGUGGGCGCUGGAGAACUGAGGGGGGCUGCUCCUAGUACGAGAGGACCGGAGUGGACGCAUCACUGGUGUUCGGGUUGUCAUGCCAAUGGCACUGCCCGGUAGCUAAAUGCGGAAGAGAUAAGUGCUGAAAGCAUCUAAGCACGAAACUUGCCCCGAGAUGAGUUCUCCCUGACUCCUUGAGAGUCCUGAAGGAACGUUGAAG